Molecule: long non-coding RNA, 5152 nt
Organism: Prosopis cineraria
Lineage: Eukaryota; Viridiplantae; Streptophyta; Magnoliopsida; Fabales; Fabaceae
Exons: 7
Source: RefSeq, a predicted model, not a curated record
UUUACGACAAGAUUCAAGAGAGAGAUAUAUAGAAUAAUGAGUUUACUCUGUUUGGCCUCUUACUAGAAAUUGUCCUUUGCUCGUACAAACGGCCCUUCAAAUGAAUGCUGAGCAACAAUCUUAAUUACUGGAAGUAUCUAGUUUCUUCAUCUAAUCACACAAACAGCUAUUCAAGUUCAGUCAAAUAGGUCUCUACCCGUUCUCUCCAAUCUCUGAAAAGGGAAGGAAGAAUAUUUUUCCCUUUAUAUCUUGCUGAACAUGUCUACAGACGGACCUUGUUGGCAGCGUGCUCAAAUGAGUUAAUUUUCUUUUCUAACUGGAAUGAAAGCAUGUCAAUGCAGAGAAUCGAUGUUAAUGUCAAAGUAUGUUCUGGUAUGACUGCAACUGACAUCUUUCUUGUUUUUGUAGAUUUCUAAUAUUUUGUAAGUGUUGACUGCUUUUAGUUCUCCAGAAUGUCCAUUGGGCAAAGUGGUGAUGCAAUGGCAAUUGGUAGUGAGUCAUCAUUUUACAUUCCAAAAUACAAUUAUGAUGUUCUAUCAACAUAUCUUGAUUGUGGAAGACCUAUUGCUGAUCAAGGCGUUGAUGAUUCUUUUAAACUACUACAUGAAAUAAAUGAGCCAGUCAGACCUGGAAUAUGAGUUGGUUACUGUUUUAUUUACGAUAGCUCUUCUCAGAAUUGGAAGCUCUACUACUGUAUUGGUGGUUAGGUACAAGAGGGAUUUCAACUGGUAUUCUCAAUUCAACUGGAAGCCUCUUUUGCCACAAUCCUUCACAAAUGCCUUUAGAUAAGCCUUCUAUUCAACCCCUGGAUUGCUUCUUCCAAUGCUACUUGAUUUUCCAUGUUGCUAGAUUACCUCACGAAAGUUGUUGUGCUGGCUAUUAUGGCUUGAUUUUUGGAAUCUCAGGGAUGGUUGGAAGAUGCUCUGGAAAUGGCCAGAGAUGCUGACUACAGUUGCUUUACAUCUUGACAGACUAGACAUUGUGAGGUGCCAACCUUGUGAAAAAGUUUAAAAAAGAUGCAAUGUGAUGAAGCAUUAGCUGACAAUGGGGAUUUUGAUCUAAAGUUAUUAUUGAGAAGUGAAAGAACCAGCUCUCUGAAAUCACCACAGGCUUGAACCUAUUGCUCUGCAAACUUUUUGGUUGUUCUUUUGUCAAAUGAAUGUUUGUCUGUCACAUGCUGUCACUUUGUAAAUGGUUGUAUUGUCAGCAUCUCUUGAUGUUCAUUUUGUGUAGUUUCUUUUGCAUGGAUAAUGUCCUAUAAGUGUUCUAUCUUUAUAUUUUUAGUAGAUAAAUGAGAAUAGGCGGAGUGAGAAUGAAGACGAUACUGUAGUGGACUAGUGUAGAAUGCUGUUUCAGCUAAUGGUGUUCUGGUCAUAAAUAACAAUGAAGGUAAAGAAAGAGGGAUACAGAUGGAAAGCGAUCGUGAUCACCCUAGGCCACUGUUCAUAUUGUUGAAAUUCUGAGAUUUAUGAACAUUGGUCAGUUUAUUUGCUUUAAUCCCUUUUGUGUCUAUUAUUGGUAGAAUAAUCUCCCUUUUGGUCUUCUUAUGACCAUCUAAUUGAAAUAUAAUGGCCUUUUCAUUUAUUAUAGCUCUAGAAUCUAUAUUUCUAGUUGGCUGUCAUUUUACACUAGACAAUGGAUAACCCCAUUUUAUUGUUGGAAUCAACCUUGACCCUGCCUUUUGAGGUCUUUGUCAAAUGCUUUGGUCUAUUUUUAAUCUUGAGCAUACUAGCAUUUUUCACAAACAUUACCAAUUCAUUAUGGUUCUAAAUAUUAUUGCUUGUACGGCUACUUUGAAGGAGAUGAUUAGAAACUCUUUACAAAAGGCUACUUCUGCACGAUGCUUGACACUCUAUUGGUCAAAUUGCCUUGUUUGACAAUUGACACUGUUAGCCCCUUCCCAUUUUUUGAGGGAAAAACGUUAAUUACAUGUUUGAUCCCUUGACUUUGCCUGAAGUUGUAUUUUUAUCUCUUAACUUUCAUUUGUUCCACUUUUAACCCUUAACUUUCCAAAAGCAUUCAAACAUUUAUUGUCUUCUGACAGUUAUUGAACGUAUAGAUUACACCAACUAAGAUCUCUUGUGGGUAACCCAUGGAUAUUCCAUGCCAAAUCACUGCCAUUUCAACACAGCUUGUAAAACAUCUAAAUGUCAUGUACAUUUGUCUUCAAUGGAUUUGUCCUAAAUCGCGGCCUCCCAUCUGAACAUUCACCCCAAAAUUCGAAUGGUUAGGUUCCUUGUUUCUUGCAGUGCGCAUUGAAAUAUAUCGCUUCUCACUCAGAAAAUCAUCAUAUACAUAGCCAAGAUUGAAGUCUGAGUUUCAUUGUAGUUUUACGCAGAGGAGUUUCAUGCCCUUGCACACUCAAAUUGACUCUUAUUUUGUCUUUCAUAGAUCUUUGGUCAGUUGUUGUCUGUUGAGCAGUUGUACUAGGAAAAUUAGGAGGGAGCAGAGGAAUGGUUAAUUGAGGGCAAUUCAUUGACAUGCAUUAGUCGUCAUAUGUAGUUUGAUUUGUUAAUACCAAUGUCAUUUUUGCUUCUUUUCCAACUUUUGUGACGUCCGCCACUUCAAUAGGUCAUGUUAUGCUUGAUCCAGCUGUUAUAUGCUACUUCUUUUUCCCCGUAUGUUAUAAUUUCAUGUGAACAUGGGUUUUAUAAUUACCUAUUUUCGCAAUUUUACUUAUAAGUGCCAACCUCAUGAACAAUUGACAUUCAUGAUAUACAUAGUUUGUUCUGAAUUUGGACAGCUCAAGCUGUGAACAUUUGAUCUGCAUUUUUUAUUGCUGACAUGAAAAAGUCAACAACAAAUCUUUUGAAAUUUCUUCAGGCAAGGUUUUUCUUCAGUCAGAAGCAACAACGAAUUUGUCAGACACAUGGUAUCCAAAAUCUGGAAUCUUCUAUUCUGAUUCUUUUUCCUGUCAAGGACAAAACCUUUACUCACCAAGAACAGGACAAAAUCUUGUAAAAUUUUCCCAUUGUUUACCUUUAGGUUAUUCAAUAACAAUAGAACGGUUGAAAUAUUUUCAAUGACUAAUUAUUUGGGGGGGGGGGGGACGACAAGAAAAUAAAAGGAAAAAAACCGACUGACAUGUAAUGGAAAACUUGAUAGCAAAACCUUUUAUAAACCUAUAUCUAAGCUUUCUUCCUUUGUAAAUUGGAUUAUAUGUACAUUUCUUGUGUAAUGACAUCUUGCUUCAAUACUUUCCUGUGGAGCUUUUGGGUUAAUAGGAUAAACAAUUGUUAGAUUGUGCUCAACACCUACAAGAACUUUGGUAAAGAUCAUCAUGAUUGUGUAAUUUUCGUGUCCUUUAUGUUCAUCUACUUUCCCAUCUCUGUCUUUCUCCUUCAGCAUGGAAUGGAAUAAUAAAAAUGGAACUUUAUAUACCAUGACUACCCAAAGCCCAAGAUUCUGUAAUUGCAAGAUACAAUCAUCACGAAUGCUUUACAGUAACAUUAUUCACCUAUCCAGUUGUUAGGUAAGGUUCUGGUCCAUUAAAGUUCUGGUCUAGGGACAAGUUUAUAUGCUUCCGUAGUUCUGAAACAAUGCAAGAUAACGUUUUGUGUUAUGUCAAGUGGUUGUUGCCAUGUCAGCACUUUUCUCGGGCAUGAGUCCUAGUUUUUCGCCACCAGCUUUUGAUUCCUGUGUUAUUUUCUCCUACCACUAACAGCAGGGUGGAUCUUCAUUGUUUGUUUCCUUUCAUAGUGUCUCUUCAAUUUCUUGAAUGAGUAAAAAUUAUUCUUGUGAUCCUACUUCGCUUUUACAGACCCUGAAGGGCAUGCGGAAAGAUGAAUAUGAGAAAAUGAAAAGGAGUUCUUUUUCAGAUCAUAGACCUAUGUCGACCGGAUUCUUCGUUGAAUAUUACUUUACAACUUAUAGCAGGUUGGCAGUGGGCCAGAAACAGGUAAUCCAAGGGGACCAGGCCCCUCAAAUGCUGUGCUUUCUUAUUCUUUCUUCCUGUUUUUCUUUAUGGUGGUUGGUUUUGGUGGUAAGAUAAACAUAAAUCAAUAUAAUGUAUGGUAUUAUGUUGGCUAAAUUACAAUUAUUGUGAUUUAGCAUUAAUAUAAGAAUGUUGGUUAUAAAUCUAUGUAGUCUGCCUCCGCCUGUUCUUGUCCGUUCCUCUCCAUUUCUUGUGAUUAGCUAAAAUACCUUUUUUCACAUUCUUAUUCUAUAUUAAAGCCCACACUCAUUGAAGAAUGUCCCAAUCAUAGCCAAUCAUUUGGUUACCUUUUGAUUAGAACAUUAUUUGAGGAACAUAAAGGUGGUCGGAGACCUAAAAGGCCAGAAUACUAGUAAAAAUGUUGUGAGCUGCUAAACUCUGGUCAUUUUUUAAAAGAAAGAUAAUCACAAGCAUCGCUAGAGGUCUUGAGUUAGAACUAUGGGAAUGCAGUAUUUUUUUGUGGUAGAGCUUUCACUUGAAAGGAUUAUAACCUGACUCAAUCCAGAUUAGUCUGGCAUCAUUAAAGUCCUCUCAGCUCGAUGUGGGGCAUGCCUAGGAUACCAGGUGGAAUGCGAAGCAUUAUAAAUAAAUAAAUAAUAAAGAGACUCACAAGCAUCUUCUUGCAAUAUGUUGUCUUUUUUCUUCUUAAAGCUAGCCCUAUUGUAUCAGAUAUGCGAUCUGAGCUGGCAUUCAAAAAAUUGCUUAUUCCCUGAGGAUGUGUGGUUUCUGUGUAUACGCGUUUUGCAGCGAAUCAAAUUUGUCACGGUUUGUUUCAUCAACACCAUUAUAUAUAUAUAAAUAUAUUGGUUGCUGUUGUAACGUGCCGACAAGUUUAUGGGUUAGGAUGGUUACAUAUAUAUAUAUAUAUAUAUAGUUUGAGUGUGUUGCAUGUAUCUUUGUUGCUUUCUCUAUCUAAAUUUCACGAGAUAAGAACAGAGCAUUUAAAAUGGAGGGAAAGGGUAGAGUGGGAGUUGGUGGGUCUCAUGUUGAGGUGAUAACUGCAGCUGAGCUUUGAGCUUGCUCGCCUACUUCCUGGUUUGGAGAUUAAAUUAACAAUCCAGUCUGUUUUUAAAUUUGUUAUAUAAUAUUCCUCAAAUUAUUGAUCAUUGUAUAAUAUAAUCUCAUUCUCGUCGUUGUUGGUUUUUUUUUUUCUCCCCUUAUUGUUCAUGGAUUAUAGGCCAAGUGCAUUGUAUGUUAUAUGUUAUGCAAAUUCUUCUC